RNAcentral lists this long non-coding RNA (1862 nucleotides) under Marmota monax (woodchuck). The record is from RNAcentral. Lineage: Eukaryota; Metazoa; Chordata; Mammalia; Rodentia; Sciuridae.
GGAUUCACCUAGCCAGGGGACCUUAGGAAACUAUUAACUAGUUAAGGGAACUUAAGGGUGCUACUAACUAGCUGGGGGACCUUAGGAAACUCCCUGAACCCCUUGUUUUUAUACUUAGAAAACAGGAAUAAUAACAUUGAUUCUGUCCUUCUACUUCUAGCCAUGGGAUUCUUGGAAGAAUCAAAUUCAGUAAUAAAGUUCAUGGAAAGGCACAGUACCCAGGGAAAUGCUAACAGAUUAUAGUGAUUGUGACUACCAUGUUUUAAAUUAAUUCUGGCAAUUUUGCUACAGUGUUUCUGCUUUGAUAAGAGGGGGAAAAUUGUGCAGGUCCUGGCCUGGAGACAGGCAGUUAAGGGAGUAAGAGGAGAAGGGAACAAAAAGAAGAGGCUCAGAAAGUGAGACUAGGAUACUUCCCAACUUUCACAAAGAAAGUGGAGGCUGGCUGGGAGGAGUGAUUUUUAUCAUAUUUUAUAAAUGAGAAAACUUCUAAGAUAGGGAGACCUUAAUUGAUAUAAACUAAUUAACUUAUUGGUAUUGACACCAGACUGACUCCAUGUCACAGUCUCUCAGGAACCCCGCCCCCCACACACACUUUUUUGUUAUUCAUUGACUUUUAGACUUAGAAACUCAUCAUAUCACACAAAUGGAUAAGUACCUCAGCCCUCCAAAUUUCCUGUGGUGAAAUACUCCACAGACCUAAAGGAAUAAAACAGAUCCUAAGCAUAUUUAGUUGACCUUACUAGUUUUUGACUCCCUAACCUGGGGAGAUAUGCAAGGCCAGAGAGGCAGAGAACACAGUGGUUAAGAACAUGGAUCCUGAAUCCAGUCUGCCUGGGCUUAAUCUGGCAACUCUGGGUCACUGGGCAAGUUACUUAACCUCUCUGGGUCCCAGGUUCCUCAUCUGUAAAAUGAGGAUAAGAAAUAGCACCUGUUUAGGUUUUCUGUGACGAUUCACAAAGUAUAAAAACAUAGUAUACGUGCAAAACUAGGGACACAGCAAAAACAGUGCCAAGAGGAAAAUUAAAGCUAUAAACCCUUACAUUGGAGGAGCAGGGGGAGGAGGAGAAAGAUAUCAAAUUAAAAAACCUAACUUUACAAUUUAAGAACUAGAAAAAAAGAACAAACUAAACCCCAAGUCAGCAGAAGGAAGAAAGUAAUAAACAUCAGAACAGAGAUGAAAAGAACUGGAGACUAGAAAAACAAUACCACUGAGCCAUACACUUAAAAAUGGUUAAGAUAAAAGAUUUUGUUAUAUGUAUUUUAUCACAGUAAAAAUUUUGGAAAUGAAGAGCAUUUCAAAAAUGAAGUUCCAGGAAGAUUCCCUGGUAUAUAUUAAGAAUGCUAGUUAUCAAGGGGAAUUAACUCAAGAAUUUAUUUUUCUUUAUAGGUAUACUUUCUGGAGAGAUAAUAACCAGGUUUGUUUUAUUUGGGAGUACUCCUGAAACAAGAAAACCUUAAAUGAAUGAGCCUGUUUACUGAGAUCAUCCAGUUGAAGCAGAGAUGAGGAGAAGGAAGAGUCUAGUGGCUACUUUGAAGCAAGGGGUUCUGUCAAAGAAGCCAAUAAUAGGGAGUCCUUUAUAGAAUUCCAGGGCCAUUUGUCAGGGGUUACCAUGAUAUAUGGCUCCUUUGAGCCACUCUGGGAUACUGGGUUCAGCCCUAUGUAAAAUGAUGAAGAGUGAUAACAAAAAAAAUAAGGCAGGGUGAUAUAGAAAUAGAUCACUCAGCUAGGAAUCAGGAGACCUGGCUUUGAGAGGUGGCUCUGGCCAUAAUUGUCCCAAUGAUCAUCUCUUCUCUCAGACUCAAUUUAGCAAUUGGCAAAACGAGAUCAAUAAACAUCCCUUUCCUCUUAAACAGUUCACAAU